This 467-nucleotide ribosomal RNA is filed under the name uncultured bacterium. Its description in RNAcentral is "partial 16S ribosomal RNA". It matches the Rfam family "Bacterial small subunit ribosomal RNA", at positions 28 to 506 of the family's 1533-position model. The record is from RNAcentral.
GACGAACGCUGGCGGCGUGCUUAACACAUGCAAGUCGAACGGAAAGGCCCUGCUUUUGUGGGGUGCUCGAGUGGCGAACGGGUGAGUAACACGUGAGUAACCUGCCCUUGACUUUGGGAUAACUUCAGGAAACUGGGGCUAAUACCGGAUAGGAGCUCCUGCUGCAUGGUGGGGGUUGGAAAGUUUCGGCGGUUGGGGAUGGACUCGCGGCUUAUCAGCUUGUUGGUGGGGUAGUGGCUUACCAAGGCUUUGACGGGUAGCCGGCCUGAGAGGGUGACCGGCCACAUGGGGACUGGGUUACGGCCCAGACUCCUACGGGGGGCAGCGGUGGGGAUUAUUGCACAAGGGGCGGAGGCCUGAUGCAGCAACGCCGCGUGCGGGAUGACGGCCUUCGGUUUGUAAACCGCUUUCGCCUGUGACGAGGCGUGAGUGACGGUAUUGGGUAAAGAAGCACCGGCUAACUACGU